GUGUCAGCCGCCGCGGUAAGACGAACCGUGCGAACGUUGUUCGGAAUCACUGGGCUUAAAGGGCGCGUAGGCGGAUCAGCAAGUCCGGGGUGAAAUCCUCCGGCUUAACCGGAGAAGUGCCUUGGAUACUGCUGGUCUCGAGGGAGGUAGGGGUUAUCGGAACUUCUGGUGGAGCGGUGAAAUGCGUUGAUAUCAGAAGGAACGCCGGUGGCGAAAGCGGAUAACUGGACCUCUUCUGACGCUGAGGCGCGAAAGCUAGGGGAGCGAACGGGAUUAGAUACCCCGGUAGUCCUAGCCCUAAACGUUGGGUACUAGAUUGUAGACUUGCAUGGGUUUACAGUCGAAGCAAAAGUGAUAAGUACCCCGCCUGGGGAGUAUGGUCGCAAGGCUGAA
RNAcentral lists this ribosomal RNA (393 nucleotides) under uncultured bacterium. RNAcentral describes it as "bacterial SSU rRNA". It matches the Rfam family "Bacterial small subunit ribosomal RNA", at positions 505 to 898 of the family's 1533-position model. The record is from RNAcentral.